AUGUUCUUACUCAAGCUAGGCAAAAACAGCUUUUAUAUGGGGGCUUGCACAGCUCUGCACACCCAGCAGACACUGAUGACUGCUACCCAGUUCCAGCUAUUUAGAACAUUGGAAUUGAAACUCUUGAUUUGUGCUUUCUUGCUUUAUCACAGAUCAAAGGAAUUCAAGGAGUUCACCCACGUAUAUCAAGCACCUAGAAAAGUGUCAGGCACAUGGGAAGUGCUCAAUAAACGUUUGCUGAAGGAAUGUCCAAGGUCUGGUGAGGAGUGGAGGAGGAGGUGCGAAGAAGAUGGCCAGCUUGCUCCCUGCGU
Molecule: long non-coding RNA, 311 nt
Filed under: Callithrix jacchus (white-tufted-ear marmoset)
Lineage: Eukaryota; Metazoa; Chordata; Mammalia; Primates; Cebidae
Description: lncRNA (ENSCJAG00000080176.1)
Source: RNAcentral